Molecule: ribosomal RNA, 1135 nt
Filed under: Burkholderia sp. BCB-17
Lineage: Bacteria; Pseudomonadati; Pseudomonadota; Betaproteobacteria; Burkholderiales; Burkholderiaceae
Description: bacterial SSU rRNA
Rfam family: Bacterial small subunit ribosomal RNA
Source: RNAcentral
GAACGCUGGCGGGCAUGCCUUACACAUGCAAGUCGAACGGCAGCACGGGUGCUUGCACCUGGUGGCGAGUGGCGAACGGGUGAGUAAUACAUCGAACAUGUCCUGUAGUGGGGGAUAGCCCGGCGAAAGCCGGGAUUAAUACCGCAUACGAUCUUAGCGGAUGAAAAGCGGGGGACCUUCCGGGCCUCCGCGCUAUAGGGUUGGCCGAUGGCUGAUUAGCUAGUUGGUGGGGUAAAGGCCCACCAAGGCGACGAUCAGUAGCUGGUCUGAGAGGACGACCAGCCACACUGGGACUGAGACACGGCCCAGACUCAUCGGGAGGCAGCAGUUGGGGAAUUUUGGACAAUGGGCGAAAGCCUGAUCCAGCAAUGCCGCGUUGGUGUGAAGAAAGGCCUUCGGGUGUAAAGCACUUUUGUCCCGGAAAGAAAUCCUGAGGGCUAAUAUCCUUCGGGGAGACGGUACCGGAAGAAUAAGCACCGGCUAACUACGUGCCAGCAGCCGCGGUAAUACGUAGGGUGCGAGCGUUUAAUCGGAAUUCUGGGCGUAAAGCGUGCGCAGGCGGUUUGUUAAGACCGAUGUGAAAUCCCGGGCUUAAACCUGGGACUGCAUUGGUGACCUGGCAAGCUAGAGUAUGGCAGAGGGGGGUAGAAUUCACGUGUAGCAGUGAAAUGCGUAGAGAUGUGGAGGAAUACCGAUGGCGAAGGCAGCCCCCUGGGCCAAUACUGACGCUAUGCACGAAAGCGGUGGGGAGCAAACAGGAAUUAGAAUACCCUGGUAGUCCACGCCCUAAACGAUGUCAACCUAGUUGUUGGGGAUUCAUUUCCCUUAGUAACGUAGCUACGCGUUGAAGUUGACCGCCUGGGGAGUCGGUCGCAAGAUUAAACUCAAAGGAAUUGACGGGGACCCGCACAAGCGGUGGAUGAUGUGGAUUAAUUCGAUGCAACGCGAAAACCUUACCUACCCUUAACCUUGGAGAGAUCUGAGGGUGCUCGAAAGAGAACCGAUACACAGGUGCUGCAUGGCUGUCGUCAGCUCGUGUCGUGAGAUGUUGGGUUAAGUCCCGCAACGAGCGCAACCCUUGUCCUUAGUUGCUACGCAAGAGCACUCUAGGGAGACUGCCGGUGACAAACCGGAG